Non-coding RNA from Picea glauca (white spruce), 111 nucleotides. The record is from Rfam. Lineage: Eukaryota; Viridiplantae; Streptophyta; Pinopsida; Pinales; Pinaceae.
UGCAAGAAUUGGCGCUAACACACCAAAUCCCAUCAGAACUCUGUAGUUAAGCACACUUGGGCUAGAGUAGUACUGGGAUGGGUCACCUCCCGGGAAGUCCUAGUGUUUCAC